RNAcentral lists this ribosomal RNA (116 nucleotides) under uncultured bacterium. RNAcentral's name for it is "partial 16S ribosomal RNA". It matches the Rfam family "Bacterial small subunit ribosomal RNA", at positions 1369 to 1482 of the family's 1533-position model. The record is from RNAcentral.
CGUUCCCGGGUCUUGUACACACCGCCCGUCACACCACGAAAGUUGGCAACACCCGAAGCCGGUGGGCUAACCCGUAAGGGAGGCAGCCGUCUAAGGUGGGGUUGAUGAUUGGGGUG